Molecule: ribosomal RNA, 460 nt
Filed under: uncultured bacterium
Lineage: Bacteria
Description: partial 16S ribosomal RNA
Rfam family: Bacterial small subunit ribosomal RNA
Source: RNAcentral
CCUACGGGAGGCUGCAGUGAGGAAUAUUGGUCAAUGGGCGGAAGCCUGAACCAGCCAAGUAGCGUGCAGGAUGACGGCCCUACGGGUUGUAAACUGCUUUUAUACGGGAAUAACGCGCCUUACGUGUAGGGCUUUGCAUGUACCGGAUGAAUAAGGACCGGCUAAUUCCGUGCCAGCAGCCGCGGUAAUACGGAAGGUCCGGGCGUUAUCCGGAUUUAUUGGGUUUAAAGGGAGCGUAGGCCGCAUGUCAAGCCUGCUGUGAAAGGUCCGGGCUCAACCCGGGCCUUGCAGCGGAAACUGGCGUGCUUGAGUCCGCGGAAAGUAGGCGGAAUUCGUCGUGUAGCGGUGAAAUGCUUAGAUAUGGCGAAGAACUCCGAUUGCGAAGGCAGCUUGCUGCAGCGGCACUGACGCUGAUGCUCGAAAGCGUGGGUAUCGAACAGGAUUAGAUACCCUAGUAGUC